This 556-nucleotide ribosomal RNA is filed under the name uncultured bacterium. Its description in RNAcentral is "partial 16S ribosomal RNA". It matches the Rfam family "Bacterial small subunit ribosomal RNA", at positions 355 to 900 of the family's 1533-position model. The record is from RNAcentral.
UGAGGAAUAUUGCGCAAUGGGCGAAAGCCUGACGCAGCGACGCCGCGUGGAGGAUGAAGGUUUUCGGAUUGUAAACUCCUGUUAAGUGGGAAGAAACGACAAAAUAUAAUACAUUUUGUAACUGACGGUACCAUUAAAGAAAGCACCGGCUAACUUCGUGCCAGCAGCCGCGGUAAUACGAGGGGUGCAAGCGUUAUUCGGAAUUAUUGGGCGUAAAGGGUGCGUAGGCGGCGUAUUAAGUCAACUGUUAAAAAGCCUCCAGCCUAACUGGAGAUCAGCAGUAGAUACUGGUAUGCUAGAGGAUGGAAGAGAGAGUGGAAUUCUUGGAGUAGCGGUGGAAUGCGUAGAUCUCAAGAGGAACACCAAUGGCGAAGGCAGCUUCUUGGUCCAUAUCUGACGCUGAUGCACGAAAAGCGUGGGGAGCAAACAGGAUUAGAUACCCUGGUAGUCCACGCCGUAAACGAUGAUCACUAGAUGUUAAUUCUGCUUGCAGAAUUAGUGUCGUAGCUAACGCGAUAAGUGAUCCGCCUGGGGACUACGGUCGCAAGAUUAAAAU